This 815-nucleotide ribosomal RNA is filed under the name uncultured bacterium. RNAcentral's name for it is "bacterial SSU rRNA". It matches the Rfam family "Bacterial small subunit ribosomal RNA", at positions 8 to 796 of the family's 1533-position model. The record is from RNAcentral.
AGAGUUUGAUCCUGGCUCAGAACGAACGCUGGCGGCGUGGAUAAGACAUGCAAGUCGAGCGCUGAUUGUGGGGUAGCAAUAUUCCGCAGUCGGAGCGGCGCAAGGGUGCGUAACACGUGGGCAAUUUGCCGUAAAGUUGGGGAUAACUCCGAGAAAUCGGAGCUAAUACCGAAUGUGGCAGCCGGGAGGCAUCCUCUGGCUUCUAAAGUUGGGGACCGCAAGGCCUGACGCUUUACGAUAAGCCCGCGGCCUAUCAGGUAGUUGGCGGGGUAACAGCCCACCAAGCCUAAGACGGGUAGCUGGUCUGAGAGGACGACCAGCCACACCGGAACUGAGACACGGUCCGGACUCCUACGGGAGGCAGCAGUGGGGAAUAUUGGACAAUGGGCGAAAGCCUGAUCCAGCAAUGCCGCGUGUGUGAAGAAGGCCUUCGGGUUGUAAAGCACUUUAGGCUGGAAAGAAAAAGCUUUGGCUAAUAUCCAAAGCCUUGACGGUACCAGCAGAAUAAGCACCGGCUAACUCUGUGCCAGCAGCCGCGGUAAUACAGAGGGUGCAAGCGUUAAUCGGAUUUACUGGGCGUAAAGCGUGCGUAGGCGGCUAUUUAAGUCGGAUGUGAAAGCCCUGGGCUUAACCUGGGAACUGCAUUCGAUACUGGGUAGCUGGAGAUCGGUAGAGGGCGGCGGAAUUCCGGGUGUAGCGGUGAAAUGCGUAGAUAUCCGGAGGAACACCGAUGGCGAAGGCAACCGCCUGGGCCUGAUCUGACGCUGAGGCACGAAAGCGUGGGGAGCAAACAGGAUUAGAUACCCUGGUAGUCC